This 335-nucleotide unclassified non-coding RNA is filed under the name uncultured fungus. Its description in RNAcentral is "partial contains 5.8S ribosomal RNA and internal transcribed spacer 2". The stretch from base 1 to 133 matches the Rfam family "5.8S ribosomal RNA", at positions 22 to 154 of the family's 154-position model. The record is from RNAcentral. Lineage: Eukaryota; Fungi.
UGGUUCUGGCAUCGAUGAAGAACGCAGCGAAAUGCGAUAAGUAAUGUGAAUUGCAGAAUUCAACGAAUCAUCGAAUCUUUGAACGCACAUUGCGCCCAUUGGUAUUCCGAUGGGCAUGCCUGUUCGAGCGUCAUUUCAACCCUCAAGCCCUAGCUGCUUGGUGUUGGAGCCCCUAUAGCAUAUAGCUAUAGGGCUCUGAAAGACAUUGGCAGGAUUUUCAUAAACCCGAGCGUAGUAAAUUUUAUCUCGUUUAGGGCGUUAUGAGAGUUUUCAAGCCGUAAAACCCCCUGUAUUUUUACAAGGUUGACCUCGGAUCAGGUAGGAAUACCCGCUGA